UGGUUAAUCGACAGAACCACGUGGAAAAUAUUGUGGCGAUACUGAAUGCUACAGUCAGACAGCUAACUACCGAAAUCAAACAACAGGCAGCAACAAAUCAGCAGCAGAAGAAAACCAUUCAGCAACAACAGUCUUCAACUCAAUAACAACAGAUGUCGAUCCAACAACAAAAUACAUCAAUCCAAAAACACCAGACAUUAAUCCAACAACAACAGGUUUUGAUCAAACAACACGAACAUACAGUUAAGCAGUUACAAGGAUCAAUUAUCAGUAUUCAAA
Molecule: long non-coding RNA, 279 nt
Filed under: Mytilus galloprovincialis (Mediterranean mussel)
Lineage: Eukaryota; Metazoa; Mollusca; Bivalvia; Mytilida; Mytilidae
Source: RNAcentral